Molecule: ribosomal RNA, 429 nt
Filed under: Acidobacteriota bacterium
Lineage: Bacteria; Pseudomonadati; Acidobacteriota
Description: Acidobacteria bacterium partial 16S ribosomal RNA
Rfam family: Bacterial small subunit ribosomal RNA
Source: RNAcentral
UGGGGAAUUUUGGACAAUGGGGGAAACCCUGAUCCAGCCAUCCCGCGUGUGCGAUGAAGGCCUUCGGGUUGUAAAGCACUUUUGGCAGGAAAGAAACGUCAUGGGUUAAUACCCCGUGAAACUGACGGUACCUGCAGAAUAAGCACCGGCUAACUACGUGCCAGCAGCCGCGGUAAUACGUAGGGUGCAAGCGUUAAUCGGAAUUACUGGGCGUAAAGCGUGCGCAGGCGGUUCGGAAAGAAAGAUGUGAAAUCCCAGAGCUCAACUUUGGAACUGCAUUUUUAACUACCGGGCUAGAGUGUGUCAGAGGGAGGUGGAAUUCCGCGUGUAGCAGUGAAAUGCGUAGAUAUGCGGAGGAACACUGAUGGCGAAGGCAGCCUCCUGGGAUAACACUGACGCUCAUGCACGAAAGCGUGGGGAGCAAACAGG